CCUACGGGAGGCAGCAGUGGGGGAUAUUGCACAAUGGGGGGAACCCUGAUGCAGCGACGCCGCGUGGGUGAAGAAGCGCCUCGGCGCGUAAAGCCCUGUCAGCAGGGAAGAAAAUGACGGUACCUGAAGAAGAAGCCCCGGCUAACUACGUGCCAGCAGCCGCGGUAAUACGUAGGGGGCAAGCGUUAUCCGGAUUUACUGGGGGGAAAGGGGGCGCAGACGGCGAUGAAAGCCAGGCGUGAAAGCCCGGGGCCCAACCCCGGGACUGCUCGUGGAACUGCGUGGCUGGAGUGCAGGAGGGGCAGGCGGAAUUCCUGGUGUAGCGGUGAAAUGCGUAGAUAUCAGGAGGAACACCGGUGGCGAAGGCGGCCUGCUGGACUGCAACUGACGUUGAGGCCCGAAAGCGUGGGGAGCAAACAGGAUUAGAUACCCUAGUAGUC
This 440-nucleotide ribosomal RNA is filed under the name uncultured bacterium. RNAcentral's name for it is "partial 16S ribosomal RNA". It matches the Rfam family "Bacterial small subunit ribosomal RNA", at positions 338 to 795 of the family's 1533-position model. The record is from RNAcentral.